CUUCCUCAAAACUUCAAGUGCUC
RNAcentral lists this non-coding RNA (23 nucleotides) under Mus musculus (house mouse). RNAcentral also lists the same sequence under 1 other name. Lineage: Eukaryota; Metazoa; Chordata; Mammalia; Rodentia; Muridae. The record is from RNAcentral.